GACGAACGCUGGCGGCGUGCCUAAUACAUGCAAGUUGAGCGAUGAAGAUUGGUGCUUGCACCAAUUUGAAGAGCAGCGAACGGGUGAGUAACGCGUGGGGAAUCUGCCUUUGAGCGGGGGACAACAUUUGGAAACGAAUGCUAAUACCGCAUAACAACUUUAAACAUAAGUUUUAAGUUUGAAAGAUGCAAUUGCAUCACUCAAAGAUGAUCCCGCGUUGUAUUAGCUAGUUGGUGAGGUAAAGGCUCACCAAGGCGAUGAUACAUAGCCGACCUGAGAGGGUGAUCGGCCACAUUGGGACUGAGACACGGCCCAAACUCCUACGGGAGGCAGCAGUAGGGAAUCUUCGGCAAGGGACGAAAGUCUGACCGAGCAACGCCGCGUGAGUGAAGAAGGUUGUCGGAUCGUAAAACUCGGUUGGUAGAGAAGAACGUUGGUGAGAGUGGAAAGCUCAUCAAGUGACGGUAACUACCCAGAAAGGGACGGCUAACUACGUG
This 497-nucleotide ribosomal RNA is filed under the name uncultured bacterium. Its description in RNAcentral is "partial 16S ribosomal RNA". It matches the Rfam family "Bacterial small subunit ribosomal RNA", at positions 28 to 507 of the family's 1533-position model. The record is from RNAcentral.